RNAcentral lists this ribosomal RNA (435 nucleotides) under uncultured bacterium. RNAcentral's name for it is "bacterial SSU rRNA". It matches the Rfam family "Bacterial small subunit ribosomal RNA", at positions 339 to 791 of the family's 1533-position model. The record is from RNAcentral.
GUACGGGAGGCAGCAGUUAGGAAUCUUGGACAAUGGGCGCAAGCCUGAUCCAGCCAUGCCGCGUGAGUGAUGAAGGCCUUAGGGUUGUAAAGCUCUUUCAGCGGGGAAGAUAAUGACGGUACCCGCAGAAGAAGCCCCGGCUAACUUCGUGCCAGCAGCCGCGGUAAUACGAAGGGGGCUAGCGUUGCUCGGAAUCACUGGGCGUAAAGCGCACGUAGGCGGAUCUUUAAGUCAGGGGUGAAAUCCUGGAGCUCAACUCCAGAACUGCCUUUGAUACUGGGGAUCUCGAGUCCGGAAGAGGUGAGUGGAACUCCGAGUGUAGAGGUGAAAUUCGUAGAUAUUCGGAAGAACACCAGUGGCGAAGGCGGCUCACUGGUCCGGUACUGACGCUGAGGUGCGAAAGCGUGGGGAGCAAACAGGAUUAGAUACCCCGGU